AUACGUAGGUGGCAAGCGUUGUCCGGAAUUAUUGGGCGUAAAGCGCAUGUAGGCGGUUUGGUAAGUCGGUCGUGAAAAUGCGGUGCUUAACGCCGUAUGGCGAUUGAAACUGCUGAACUUGAGUGCAGGAGAGGAAAGGGGAACUCCCAGUGUAGCGGUGAAAUGCGUAGAUAUUGGGAAGAACACCGGGGGCGAAGGCGCCUUUCUGGACUGUGUCUGACGCUCAGAUGCGAAAGCCAGGGUAGCGAACGGGAUUAGAUACCCCGGUAGUCCUGGCCGUAAACGAUGGGUACUAGGUGUGGGAGGUAUCGACUCCUUCCGUGCCGGAGUUAACGCAAUAAGUACCCCGCCUGGGGAGUACGGCCGCAAGGCUUAAACUCAAAUGAAUUGGCGGGG
This 396-nucleotide ribosomal RNA is filed under the name uncultured bacterium. Its description in RNAcentral is "partial 16S ribosomal RNA". It matches the Rfam family "Bacterial small subunit ribosomal RNA", at positions 523 to 918 of the family's 1533-position model. The record is from RNAcentral.